Long non-coding RNA from Hippopotamus amphibius kiboko, 581 nucleotides. RefSeq lists it as uncharacterized. The record is from RefSeq and is a predicted model, not a curated record. NCBI's taxonomy places the organism in Eukaryota, Metazoa, Chordata, Mammalia, Artiodactyla, Hippopotamidae. The transcript has 3 exons.
CCCGGCCAAACUUCAAUCCGCGUGUGACAGAGGCUUCCCCUCUCGCAGAUCCGGGUUGUUGCUCCCAGAGCCAGCGUUUGAGUCCUUGAAGGAAGUUGCCCAAAGCACCAAGACCUGCACCUUGAGAUCCAGAACCACUUCCCCAGAGAACCAGGGGUUCAUACUUCUCCGGGCAGACCUGGCAGCUAACAGAUUCUGUACAACCAGCAGAUGCUCAGUAAUACUACAGGUGCUGAGCAAAGGUCUACGCUCACCUCCAAGACCAGCAUUUCAAAUCUGGCCUCUGGGGAUGUUCUUGAAGUAGGAGGUCAUUUUGCGCUCUUUGUGGGCUCUGUAGCUGUUGAGCAAAAAGAAGGGAGGGGAACUGCAUCUGGACACCCCUUCUGCCCCCAUCACCUCCCAUUUCUCAAGAUGUGAUGGAAGACACUUCAGAGAACCAGGAGAGGGAGGGGAGCAGAGGCCAGCGGUGCUGGCCUCCCUGCAAAAGGAAUGCAGAACUCCCUGCCCUGUCUGCCACCGUGGACUCCAACAGAUACAGGAGCUUUUCCCGCGCCCCUUACCUGCCCCCACACCCCCUCUUC